UGAGGAAUAUUGGACAAUGGGCGAAAGCCUGAUCCAGCAAUGCCGCGUGAGUGAUGAAGGCCUAUUAGGUUGUAAAGCUCUUUUAGCAGGGAAGAUAAUGACGGUACCUGCAGAAAAAGCCCCGGCUAACUACGUGCCAGCAGCCGCGGUAAUACGUAGGGGGCUAGCGUUGUUCGGAUUUACUGGGCGUAAAGAGCGCGUAGGUGGUUUAAUAAGUUAGAAGUGAAAUCCCGGAGCUCAACUUCGGAACUGCUUCUAAAACUGUUUAACUAGAGUGUGGUAGGGGUAAUAGAAUUCCUAGUGUAGAAGUGAAAUUCUUAGAUAUUAGGAGGAAUACCGAUGGCGAAGGC
This 350-nucleotide ribosomal RNA is filed under the name uncultured bacterium. RNAcentral's name for it is "bacterial SSU rRNA". It matches the Rfam family "Bacterial small subunit ribosomal RNA", at positions 355 to 722 of the family's 1533-position model. The record is from RNAcentral.